This is a long non-coding RNA of Sorex fumeus (smoky shrew), 360 nucleotides long. RefSeq lists it as uncharacterized. NCBI's taxonomy places the organism in Eukaryota, Metazoa, Chordata, Mammalia, Eulipotyphla, Soricidae. The record is from RefSeq and is a predicted model, not a curated record. The transcript has 5 exons.
GCCAUGCCUCAGCGCGUUCGGGUGCUGCGGUGCUUCUCGUGUCGCCUCUUCCAGGCGCAGCAGGUAACGAAGAGCCGGAAGUGGACCUGCAAAGCAUGUGGGGAGAAGCAGUCAUUUCUGAGGACCUACGGCGAGGGCUCAGGAGCCGACUGCAGGCGCCAUGUGCAGAAACUGAACCUACUGCAGGGGCAGCUUUCUGAGGAGUCACCCAGGCUUCUGGAAAGUGGGGCGCAGAUCAGUGAAGAGGACCCUCCGCUGGCCAGGCAUGCAUGUCUACAGCCCAGGACCUCGGAAAGCCGCUGGCAGAAGUACCUGGAGGGAGACUCUGAAGAAAAGAUGUUGGCAGGGGACACAUGCCAG